RNAcentral lists this ribosomal RNA (732 nucleotides) under Bifidobacterium pseudolongum. RNAcentral's name for it is "bacterial SSU rRNA". It matches the Rfam family "Bacterial small subunit ribosomal RNA", at positions 72 to 802 of the family's 1533-position model. Lineage: Bacteria; Bacillati; Actinomycetota; Actinomycetes; Bifidobacteriales; Bifidobacteriaceae. The record is from RNAcentral.
CUGGCAGCUUGCUGCCGGGGUGAGAGUGGCGAACGGGUGAGUAAUGCGUGACCGACCUGCCCCAUGCACCGGAAUAGCUCCUGGAAACGGGUGGUAAUGCCGGAUGUUCCACAUGAGCGCAUGCGAGUGUGGGAAAGGCUUUUUGCGGCAUGGGAUGGGGUCGCGUCCUAUCAGCUUGUUGGUGGGGUAACGGCCUACCAAGGCGUUGACGGGUAGCCGGCCUGAGAGGGCGACCGGCCACAUUGGGACUGAGAUACGGCCCAGACUCCUACGGGAGGCAGCAGUGGGGAAUAUUGCACAAUGGGCGCAAGCCUGAUGCAGCGACGCCGCGUGCGGGAUGGAGGCCUUCGGGUUGUAAACCGCUUUUGUUCAAGGGCAAGGCACGGUCUUUGGCCGUGUUGAGUGGAUUGUUCGAAUAAGCACCGGCUAACUACGUGCCAGCAGCCGCGGUAAUACGUAGGGUGCAAGCGUUAUCCGGAUUUAUUGGGCGUAAAGGGCUCGUAGGCGGUUCGUCGCGUCCGGUGUGAAAGUCCAUCGCUUAACGGUGGAUCCGCGCCGGGUACGGGCGGGCUUGAGUGCGGUAGGGGAGACUGGAAUUCCCGGUGUAACGGUGGAAUGUGUAGAUAUCGGGAAGAACACCAAUGGCGAAGGCAGGUCUCUGGGCCGUUACUGACGCUGAGGAGCGAAAGCGUGGGGAGCGAACAGGAUUAGAUACCCUGGUAGUCCACGCCG